This 799-nucleotide ribosomal RNA is filed under the name uncultured marine bacterium. RNAcentral describes it as "bacterial SSU rRNA". It matches the Rfam family "Bacterial small subunit ribosomal RNA", at positions 36 to 884 of the family's 1533-position model. The record is from RNAcentral.
CUGGCGGCAGGCCUAACACAUGCAAGUCGAGCGCGCCUUCGGGUGAGCGGCGGACGGGUUAGUAACGCGUGGGAACGUGCCCUUUUCUACGGAAUAGCCUCUGGAAACGGAGAGUAAUACCGUAUACGCCCUUUGGGGGAAGGAUUUAUCGGAGAAGGAUCGGCCCGCGUUAGAUUAGGUAGUUGGUGGGGUAACGGCCUACCAAGCCUACGAUCUAUAGCUGGUUUUAGAGGAUGAUCAGCAACACUGGGACUGAGAAACGGCCCAGACUCCUACGGGAGGCAGCAGUGGGGAAUCUUAGACAAUGGGGGCAACCCUGAUCUAGCCAUGCCGCGUGAGUGAUGAAGGCCUUAGGGUCGUAAAGCUCUUUCGCCUGUGAUGAUAAUGACAGUAGCAGGUAAAGAAACCCCGGCUAACUCCGUGCCAGCAGCCGCGGUAAUACGGAGGGGGUUAGCGUUGUUCGGAAUUACUGGGCGUAAAGCGCGCGUAGGCGGAUUAGAAAGUUGGGGGUGAAAUCCCGGGGCUCAACCUCGGAACUGCCUCCAAAACUGCUAGUCUAGAGUUCGAGAGAGGUGAGUGGAAUUCCGAGUGUAGAGGUGAAAUUCGUAGAUAUUCGGAGGAACACCAGUGGCGAAGGCGGCUCACUGGCUCGAUACUGACGCUGAGGUGCGAAAGUGUGGGGAGCAAACAGGAUUAGAUACCCUGGUAGUCCACACCGUAAACGAUGAAUGCCAGUCGUCGGGUAGUAUACUAUUCGGUGACACACCUAACGGAUUAAGCAUUCCGCCUGGGGAGUACG